Molecule: ribosomal RNA, 253 nt
Filed under: uncultured bacterium
Lineage: Bacteria
Description: partial 16S ribosomal RNA
Rfam family: Bacterial small subunit ribosomal RNA
Source: RNAcentral
UACGGAGGGUGCAAGCAUUAAUCGGAUUUAUUGGGCGUAAAGGGCGCGUAGGCGGGCAUAUAAGUCAGAUGUGAAAUCCCGGGGCUCAACCCCGGAACAGCAUUUGAAACUAUACGUCUAGAGGGUAGGCGGAGAAAACGGAAUUCCACAAGUAGCGGUGAAAUGCGUAGAUAUGUGGAAGAACACCGGUGGCGAAGGCGGUUUUCUAGCUUACUCCUGACGCUAAAGCGCGAAAGCAAGGGGAUCAAACAGG